RNAcentral lists this ribosomal RNA (253 nucleotides) under uncultured bacterium. Its description in RNAcentral is "partial 16S ribosomal RNA". It matches the Rfam family "Bacterial small subunit ribosomal RNA", at positions 524 to 776 of the family's 1533-position model. The record is from RNAcentral.
UACGGAGGGUGCAAGCGUUGUCCGGAAUCACUGGGCGUAAAGGGCGCGUAGGCGGCUCAUGAAGGCUGUGGUGAAAGUCCGGGGCUCAACCUCGGAUCGGCCGUGGCGACUCGUGGGCUGGAGCACUGUAGAGGCGGGUGGAAUUCCGGGUGUAGCGGUGGAAUGCGUAGAGAUCCGGAAGAACACCAGUGGCGAAGGCGGCCCGCUGGGCAGUGGCUGACGCUGAGGCGCGACAGCGUGGGGAGCAAACGGG